RNAcentral lists this ribosomal RNA (253 nucleotides) under uncultured bacterium. Its description in RNAcentral is "partial 16S ribosomal RNA". It matches the Rfam family "Bacterial small subunit ribosomal RNA", at positions 524 to 776 of the family's 1533-position model. The record is from RNAcentral.
UACAGAGGUCCCAAGCGUUGUUCGGAUUCAUUGGGCGUAAAGGGUGCGUAGGCGGCGCGGUAAGUCGGGUGUGAAAUCUCGGGGCUUAACUCCGAAACUGCAUUCGAUACUGCCGUGCUUGAGGACUGGAGAGGAGACUGGAAUUUACGGUGUAGCGGCGAAAUGCGUAGAUAUCGUAAGGAAGACCAGUGGCGAAGGCGGGUCUCUGGACAGUUCCUGACGCUGAGGCACGAAGGCCAGGGGAGCAAACGGG